Molecule: ribosomal RNA, 119 nt
Filed under: Betta splendens (Siamese fighting fish)
Lineage: Eukaryota; Metazoa; Chordata; Actinopteri; Anabantiformes; Osphronemidae
Also listed under: 1 other name
Source: RNAcentral
GCUUACGGCCAUACCACCCUGAGCACGCCCGAUCUCAUCUGAUCUCGGAAGCUAAGCAGGGUCGGGCCUGGUUAGUACUUGGAUGGGAGACCGCCUGGGAAUACCAGGUGCUGUAAGCU